Molecule: long non-coding RNA, 3389 nt
Filed under: Homo sapiens (human)
Lineage: Eukaryota; Metazoa; Chordata; Mammalia; Primates; Hominidae
Description: HSALNT0085718
Source: RNAcentral
GGAAUUCAUGCCUUGCAAAGGGGAGGAGCCUGCCCUCUUGAGCUCUUGUGGUGACCUGGGAAUCAAUGUGUGAGGUGGUGCUAUGUAGCAGGAACCCCUCUUGCUUUGCAAAUAGUUUUUUGUUUGUUUUCCUUUUUGCCCAAUAGAGCCCUGCUCUACUGACCCUUCAAUGUGCCCGUGUGCCUAAAUAUUCCUGGUCGUGUGAAAAGAACCCAGGUAUUAGCUGAACUAAGGAGCACAAUUCUGCAACAUUUUGGCACCCAAACACGGGGCUUGAGAAAUGAAUGCAAUUGGAGAAACUGGUUGUUUUACCAGGCGUUGAUUGGAAAUGUGUGCUUCCCUUUAAGCAGUCAAGCUCAACUUGCAGAACUGAUGGGAACCCCUUGGGAAAACUGGCCUCAAAUGUUUGUCUACACAGUCCACAUACAGGGUUCUUAACCUGCGGUGAGUAAAGAAUGUCACUUUCCAACAGGCCCAGAUAUCAUAUGCUCUUGGGACCUCAAGAAGAGAGGAGUUUACCCAAUUCAUAGGUGUGUGAGGAUAAAAACCUAGGGCUGGGCUCAGCUUUAAAUGGUCUUAUCUGAGAUUCUUUGUGAAACAGAUUUUCAUGAAAGCCAAUCUAGAGGGCCUACGUAGAAAUAAUUGUUUUUGCUGCACUUUAUGCACAUAAUCAAGCCAAUUAUAAGACUAAAGUCUAUAUUGCAAGCAACACACUCCUAUUAUGAUUUGUUUUUAACAGAAAUGAGGACGAGACAGAGAGAAAUUAUGUUUCAAAACUUAUCAUCAUUAGUUUCUAGACUUAUUAUUUCUUUUUAAGUUUUUACCUACAUUUUAGACUGACCCUGCUUGUGCCUGUGAACCAACCAACAAUCUCUGGCUGCAGCUCAGAAAGGACAAAAGAGAAUGGGUAAUGUAAAAACCUGGAUCAGUAUUUUAGUUCUGAACAAUUAUCCUGCAAAUCCUGCCAGCUGAUGGGAAUAAAUAGGAUGCCCAUGAUCCGGAGGUUUACUUUUUGGGAAAGUAAAACCAAGGGAGCUAACCAAAGUAAAACCCCAUACACCCAAAUCUGAGCAAGCAUAACUAUAGCCACCAGUUAUCUGGGUGUGUCACAAGACACUCUUUUCUUUCCUUUGUUGGAGGAGAACUCAUUUCCACAGCUUCACUUUAGCAUUAUGGCUUAUGUUAAGGAGUCUAUGCAACUUCCAUGCUGAGACACGUUUUUGGUCCCAAAGUUAAUUCCAAGCUUUGUGUCAAAGGCCUAAGAAAACUGGAUCUUAGGGAUCCAGAAGCCAGACAAUAAUGAAAGUCAAAAGGCACAGCACAGGUGAGCAUGACUAAUUCCCGCUGAUUAAGCCAAGCUUCCUGUUUCAUGGAUAAAGGUCAUGCUAGUAUCCAUGGCAUAAAUGAGGUCUAGAGAACUAAAAGGCUACUGCCAGCAGGGGAGAUAGGGAGGACAUAAGACAGGGCAGCUAUUCCCAUCCCCUAGACCCCCUGUUAACAUGGAUGAAAGCCACUUUGACACCCAUGGGUGGCACCCUGUCACAGUUGGUGGGACUCAGCAAUACAGGGACAGAGGAAAGAAAGAGGAACAACUCACUUUCUCUCCCUCACACACCCUGAGUAUUUGCUAGAAAAAGAAAGGAACCAGGCACACAUGCUCCCCUAUUUCUAGAUGAGUAGCCAUUCAUCUUUAGUCUGCACCCUUUUAGAACAUGUCCUGAACCCCUGGGACUCUUCUGAAAAAAAUGCCUUCUUUUUUCCUUUUUCUUCCUCUGUCCUCUAUUCACUGGUAGGUAGGUAAUGGUGUCCCAUACCACAGAACACUUCCCUCAGAUGCAUCCUUCUAACUGGGAGGAGUUAAUUUCUCAAACCGUAGACUAAUUGGCUUAGGAUUAGGUUCAGGGGAAGGGAACACAGAAACAUGACAUGCCAGCAAAAGGGUAAAAGGUUUUUUUUCCCCGUUGGGCUUUUGGCCUCUCUCUCCCUGUGCAAACUGGUAAAAGGCGUCUGGAUUUUCUAGUUGUCCUUACCCACUGCUUGUUUCGUUUUGAUACAUAUUUUCUAAUAACCUGUUUGUCUCUUCUCACUUUUAGGCCAUCAAACUCCAGUCUGCACCUGGAGCCUUGGAUGAUGGCCUUUUUUACUGGGAACCCUGAAAUAGGCCUCUGAGGGAAAUCUGAUUGCCAUUUUCCCAAAACAGCUUCCCUGACAAUAGGAAGCAAUUAAGAUUGGUCUUCAUCCUUAUCUUUAUCCUUAUUCUAAUGGCAGUUAGAGGUACUUCUUUAGAGGGGGGAAUGAGACAGCCAAAUGCCUAGGCAGAUAAAAAGGUGUACCUGGAAAAUUUCCAACCCGUCACACAAGUGUUUACAUCAGAUGCUUUUGUGUAGAUGAGGGAAACUUCCCAGGGCUUGUCUGGGUAUGCCCACAGUGGACUGGAGCCCAAAAUGCACACUGGAGGAAGUGGAUGGAGCCACGUGGAUGUCAUGCCUUAUGCAGGGGAGGAGCCUGCUCUCUUCAGCUCCUGUGGUAAUGUGGGAAUCGAUCUGUGAGGUGAGGACCUGUUAGCAGGAACCCCUCUUGCUUUGCUGAAAGUUUUAUUUUUCUUUUUGCCCUAUAAAACCCUGUUCUACUAACCCUUCAAUAUGUCUGCAUUCCUAAAUUUUCCUGGUCAUGUGACGAGAACCUAGGUUUUAGCUGAACUAAGGAGCAAAAUUCUGCAACAUAAAGUCAAAGAAAACUAUGCCUAUAUCCAUUAAAUCAAAUGUUAAAAAGCAAAUAUAAAGAAAAAGUCUUCACAGCCCUAGAGAAAAGUGAAACAUUGUACAUAAAGAAGUAAUAAUUUGAAUGGAUUGUCAGAAACCAUGACUAGAAGACAGAGGAGCAAUAUUUUCAAAUUUCAUAGAGAAAGGAAAAAAAGAAAAGAAGAAAAAAAAGAAGACAUAAUAAAACACCUGUCAUUUUAGUAUUCUGUACCCAUUGAACAUAACCUUCAAUAGAAUGUGAAGUAGACAUAUUCAGGUGAAUAAAAAAUCAAGAGAAUAAUAGUUAUGUUCUACAUGAAAUUAUAAAGGAAAUUUCUCAGACUAGGUGGAAAUUAUACUAGUGAGAAACAGAUUUGAAGGACUAAAGGAAGAGAUGAUAGACUGACAAAGUCAAUUUUUAAAAGCCAGAUCUAACUUCUUAUUGGCUACAAGGAAUCCACUUUUAAUAUACAAAAAUAGGUAAUAAUUAAAUUGCUAGAAAAUACAUUUCAAAUAAAGAAUCAGCACAUGUAGCUUGGAGAAGAUAUAUUAACAUAAAAAGGACUUCAAUAAAAGGAGUAUUAUGAGAAGACAUUUAUGCAGCCAAAAAACACAUGAAAAAAUGCUCACCAUCACUGGCCAUCAGAG